CUUCGACAAGUAAAAACAUGAUGAGAAACAUUAAUCAAAUUGGCAUUACUAUGUUAUUAUUUUCCAUCAUCCUGACUGCAUAUGCUAAUAAUUACAGUCAGUGCUUUGAUGUUUUAAAUAAAUAUACGUGGAGUCAAAUCAAUAAUAUUUAUCAAUUUAAAGUUGAAAAUGUGGCAAAUACAUCACCAGCAAAUACAGUAUUUGAGUGUUACUUAAAAGAAACUCGAAAGGAGGGCGUUAAAUCAGAUGUUGAAAAACAUUACGAUGUGUAUAAAAAAUGCAAUGAAUACAAGAAACUCAAAUUGCCUAGUAUUGAACUCAAGCAUGUUGACGAGCUUGAAAACAUUGGUUUACCUAUGUAUUUGGACAAUCAUGUACGAGACCGCAUUAACCAUGAUGAUAGAAAUGCGAAUGAAAUUAUAAAAUACAUUCAGGAUGAUUUGGGCAAGAAGAUAGAGAUGAGUGAUCCAUAUAAUAAAUAUAGAAAAUUGGUACAUGACAAACUGACAACUGUCAAAAAAUCUGGCCAAAAGUCUCUUGCUGCUGAAUUUUCAAUUGUAUUUGUUGUUAUGAUAGCAUUUCUAUUAAAAUAUUGAAUAUUUUAGUUAAAUUUAUAUUAAGAUUUCAAUCGACUUGAAUUUUUGAUGUAAAAGUGAAUUUGAAAUAAAAUUAAUAUAAAAUGUA
This is a long non-coding RNA of Calliphora vicina (urban bluebottle blowfly), 684 nucleotides long. RefSeq lists it as uncharacterized. The record is from RefSeq and is a predicted model, not a curated record. NCBI's taxonomy places the organism in Eukaryota, Metazoa, Arthropoda, Insecta, Diptera, Calliphoridae. The transcript has 2 exons.